This 253-nucleotide ribosomal RNA is filed under the name uncultured bacterium. Its description in RNAcentral is "partial 16S ribosomal RNA". It matches the Rfam family "Bacterial small subunit ribosomal RNA", at positions 524 to 776 of the family's 1533-position model. The record is from RNAcentral.
UACGUAGGGUGCAAGCGUUGUCCGGAAUUAUUGGGCGUAAAGAGCUCGUAGGCGGUUUGUCGCGUCGAAUGUGAAAACCCGGGGCUCAACCCCGGGCCUGCAUUCGAUACGGGCGGACUAGAGUUCGGUAGGGGAGUCUGGAAUUCCUGGUGUAGCGGUGAAAUGCGCAGAUAUCAGGAGGAACACCGGUGGCGAAGGCGGGACUCUGGGCCGAUACUGACGCUGAGGAGCGAAAGCGUGGGGAGCGAGCAGG